This 257-nucleotide ribosomal RNA is filed under the name uncultured Gardnerella sp. RNAcentral's name for it is "partial 16S ribosomal RNA". It matches the Rfam family "Bacterial small subunit ribosomal RNA", at positions 99 to 355 of the family's 1533-position model. The record is from RNAcentral. Lineage: Bacteria; Bacillati; Actinomycetota; Actinomycetes; Bifidobacteriales; Bifidobacteriaceae.
CGAACGGGUGAGUAAUGCGUGACCAACCUGCCCCAUGCUCCAGAAUAGCUCUUGGAAACGGGUGGUAAUGCUGGAUGCUCCAACUUGACGCAUGUCUUGUUGGGAAAGUGUUUAGUGGCAUGGGAUGGGGUCGCGUCCUAUCAGCUUGUAGGCGGGGUAAUGGCCCACCUAGGCUUCGACCGGGUAGCCGGCCUGAGAGGGCGGACGGCCACAUUGGGACUGAGAUACGGCCCAGACUCCUACGGGAGGCAGCAGCC